Molecule: ribosomal RNA, 474 nt
Filed under: Rhizoctonia solani
Lineage: Eukaryota; Fungi; Basidiomycota; Agaricomycetes; Cantharellales; Ceratobasidiaceae
Description: partial large subunit ribosomal RNA
Source: RNAcentral
GGGUACCUCGCAAAGCUAAAAUUAUUAAAGAUAAAGAUAGCUUUUUCCAAAAAGAAUCUGUAACCCUGUCGCUGCGUGUCAAUGACACGCGGCGACAGGGAGCCCCACGUGAAAGUGUAGGUUUAUAUCCUAGUUCCCUCAGAGACUAAACGUUAAACAAAAGUAAAAUUUCAUAAAUUUCAGGCUCAUCUGAAUGUCCGCUGGUGAGUCACAGAGAGCCCCUUUUUAAAGGGCGCGCUGUUGGUAAAGCGCGCGGUAAAGGAAUUUUGCUUUUGAUGAUAUAGUCCACAUAUUUAUAACCCGCAGGGCUCCUUCGGAGUCCGGAGGGACCCCUCAGGGUAAUAUAAAUAUUAAAGCCUAAGGUAGCGAAAUUUAUUGUCCGUUAAAUGCGGUCCCGCAUGAAUAAAGUAACGAUGGUCUCACUGUCUCUACAAGCAUCUCAGUGAAAUUGAAUAGCCGUGCAGAUGCGGCUAC